Ailuropoda melanoleuca (giant panda) is the source of this 352-nucleotide long non-coding RNA. RefSeq lists it as uncharacterized. Lineage: Eukaryota; Metazoa; Chordata; Mammalia; Carnivora; Ursidae. The transcript has 3 exons. The record is from RefSeq and is a predicted model, not a curated record.
GACUGAAGAAGUUUGAAUAAUGAAUUAGGUUUUACUGUGUCAUAAGCAGCUGAGAAAGAUCUUUGAAAUUUUUUUUCUUUCUAGAUGCCAAACUUGCCAGUAGGGAGAAGGGAAAAUUUUGCUUCAAGGCAAUACGAUGUAAGGAAAAAGAAGUUGCCACACAGUUCUCAGAAAAGUAUACCUUUGCAGAUAUCAUCUUUGGAAAUGAACAGAUAAUAAGUUCAGCAAGUCCGUGUGCAGACUUCUUUUAUCGAAGUUUAUCUUCUGAAUUAAAGAAACCACAAGCCCAGCCAUCUGUGCGUGCAGAAAAACAGUCAAUAGAGGAUGCUGUGAGAUUAAUUCAGGAGUGCAG